Molecule: ribosomal RNA, 514 nt
Filed under: bacterium symbiont of Megymenum gracilicorne
Lineage: Bacteria
Description: bacterial SSU rRNA
Rfam family: Bacterial small subunit ribosomal RNA
Source: RNAcentral
GGAGAGGGCUAGCGUUAUUCGGAAUUAUUGGGCGUAAAGAGUUCGUAGGCGGUUUGUCGCGUCGUUUGUGAAAACCCGGGGCUCAACUUCGGGCUUGCAGGCGAUACGGGCAGACUUGAGUGUUUCAGGGGAGACUGGAAUUCCUGGUGUAGCGGUGAAAUGCGCAGAUAUCAGGAGGAACACCGGUGGCGAAGGCGGGUCUCUGGGAAACAACUGACGCUGAGGAACGAAAGCGUGGGUAGCAAACAGGAUUAGAUACCCUGGUAGUCCACGCCGUAAACGGUGGGCGCUAGGUGUGGGUUCCUUCCACGGGAUCUGUGCCGUAGCUAACGCAUUAAGCGCCCCGCCUGGGGAGUACGGCCGCAAGGCUAAAACUCAAAGGAAUUGACGGGGGCCCGCACAAGCGGCGGAGCAUGUGGAUUAAUUCGAUGCAACGCGAAGAACCUUACCUGGGUUUGACAUACACCGGAAAGCUGCAGAGAUGUGGCCCCCCUUGUGGUCGGUGUACAGGUGG